RNAcentral lists this ribosomal RNA (513 nucleotides) under Triticum aestivum (bread wheat). RNAcentral's name for it is "partial small subunit ribosomal RNA". The record is from RNAcentral. Lineage: Eukaryota; Viridiplantae; Streptophyta; Magnoliopsida; Poales; Poaceae.
GGCAAAUGCAAAGUUAAUUGGGCAAAGGUGUGUACCCCGAUCGAGCAUGGCGGUCUUGGCAUCCUUGACCUGCAGAAGUAUGGCCGAGUGCUACGGCUUCGGUGGCUCUGGUACACAUGGAAAAACCCUGAUCGAGCCUGGCUGGGCAUGGACUCACCCUGUGAUGUCACGGACAGGGCCAUGCUCACAGCUGCAACUUCUAUCUCAUUAGGUAAUGGAGAAAAGGCAGGGUUCUGGACCUGCUCAUGGGCCAAUGGGCAGCCUCUUAGGGAUGUUUUCCCCAGGCUUUUCAAGCACUCAAGGCGGAAAUCGAGAUCGGUUAGAGCCGCUCUGGUCGACGACUCCUGGAUCAGAGACUUGGCGCACAGGGACACCGCCCCUCUGCUGCAAGACGUGCUGUCCAUGGCGAGGAUGAUUGCCAGUGUCCGCCUGAUGCUAAACCCCCAGGUCGAUGAUACCAUUAGAUGGAACUGGACGACCGAUGGCAGCUACUCUGCUGCCUCGGCCUACUAG